RNAcentral lists this ribosomal RNA (262 nucleotides) under uncultured soil bacterium. RNAcentral describes it as "partial 16S ribosomal RNA". It matches the Rfam family "Bacterial small subunit ribosomal RNA", at positions 26 to 289 of the family's 1533-position model. The record is from RNAcentral.
AGAUUGAACGCUGGCGGCAGGCCUAACACAUGCAAGUCGAGCGGUAGAGAGGUGCUUGCAUCUCUUGAGAGCGGCGGACGGGUGAGUAAUGCCUAGGAAUCUGCCUAGUGGUGGGGGAUAACGUUCGGAAACGGACGCUAAUACCGCAUACGUCCUACGGGAGAAAGGCGGGGGCCUUCGGGCCUCGCGCCAUUAGAUGAGCCUAGGUCGGAUUAGCUUAGUUGGUGAGGUAAUGGCUCACCAAGGCGACGAUCCGUAACGU